CUCCCCCACUCUCUGUUUCCCUUUCUUUUUUUGUCCCCUCUCUCCAGGGCUCCUGAUUUCUCUUCAGCCUGACGCUCUUUUCAGUUAACGGCAAGGCGGUGCACCCAAGUCCGGUGGUGUCCUACCUGGUGACCUCCUACCUGUGCUGGGACGCCAGCGACUUGAUGCUGCACUCCGCCAUCUCCCAGGAGCCGUGUCCUACCUAAGCCCAGUGGGCAUGUGAAGCAGAGGGCAGCCCUUGAAUGCGCGGCGGCUGAGCUACCGCGGGUGGGCCGUGCAGCAGGGCGCAGCGAGGCGGACAUCCAAACAGCGGAACUCAGACGCUGACUCCGAGCGCACCCCGGGCCUUCCCAUUUCAUACACCCUCGAGGAUGAGACCCAAGCACCUCCAAGGAAUAGCACCCGAGGUCUUCAGGACACCGACCGGUAGCCAUGGCCAGAUGCCCGGCCAACCCCUUCAGCGUGGCCACGCCCUGGAUAUUCGACCUCCCCUGAGGCCCCACCCCCUGAUAUCAGGCCACGCCCUCCGAGGGGACCGGUGGCAAACUCCAGCCCUCGCUCUAGGGCCCGCCCUUUGCGGCUUUGUCCCUGCCCACUGGGUCCUCACAGUACCUCCACCCCAGAGGCCCAGCAUCCCCUCCCGUUCUGCAGACACUUGUCCAGCGUCCCGCUGAGCUCGGCAGUGUGGCUAGUUUGUGUGGCCCUGCCCCUGGUGCCCAGCCAGGGUGGUCUGCAUGGAACUUCUUUCCCGGAGUUCCGGCCUCAGCUCCGAUGUCCACCCUUGUCCCCAGGUGGACACAGCACCGCCCAGCAUUUGGUGCAACUCCACCCUUCUGCAGAACGGGCCCCUCCCUGGGAAGGCAUGGCUUGCAAUAACAUCCCUCUGUACCUUUUCUGGCUUCCCCGCCACAAUAAAACCUCUCAGCCUCAGACCUUCCAUUGCCCCCCACCUCCCCACCAGGGCAGGGUCCAUCCUAGUGUGAGUGAACUGUUCUGGCGUCCCUGACUUGCCCUUUGGGA
This 1020-nucleotide long non-coding RNA is filed under the name Homo sapiens (human). Its description in RNAcentral is "HSALNT0261588". The record is from RNAcentral. Lineage: Eukaryota; Metazoa; Chordata; Mammalia; Primates; Hominidae.